AGCUCGUAGUUGAACCUUGGGCCUGGCUGGCCGGUCCGCCUCACCGCGUGUACUGGUCCGGCCGGGCCUUUCCCUCUGUGGAACCCCAUGCCCUUCACUGGGUGUGGCGGGGAAACAGGACUUUUACUGUGAAAAAAUUAGAGUGCUCCAGGCAGGCCUAUGCUCGAAUACAUUAGCAUGGAAUAAUAGAAUAGGACGUGUGGUUCUAUUUUGUUGGUUUCUAGGACCGCCGUAAUGAUUAAUAGGGACAGUCGGGGGCAUCAGUAUUCAAUUGUCAGAGGUGAAAUUCUUGGAUUUAUUGAAGACUAACUACUGCGAAAGCAUUUGCCAAGGAUGUUUUCAUUAAUCAGGAACGAAAGUUAGGGGAUCGAAGACGAUCAGAUACCGUCGUAGUCUUAACCAUAAACUAUGCCGACUAGGGAUCGGACGGUGUUAUUUUUUGACCCGUUCGGCACC
This 456-nucleotide ribosomal RNA is filed under the name uncultured Fusarium. RNAcentral's name for it is "SSU rRNA". It matches the Rfam family "Eukaryotic small subunit ribosomal RNA", at positions 625 to 1087 of the family's 1831-position model. Lineage: Eukaryota; Fungi; Ascomycota; Sordariomycetes; Hypocreales; Nectriaceae. The record is from RNAcentral.